CCUACGGGAGACAGCAGUGAGGAAUAUUGGUCAAUGGGCGUAAGCCUGAACCAGCCACGCCGCGUGAGGGAAGAAGGUUCUAUGGAUCGUAAACCCCUUUUAUAAGGGAGUAAAGUGUGGGACGUGUCCCGUUUUGUAUGUCCCUUAUGAAUAAGGAUCGGCUAACUCCGUGCCAGCAGCCGCGGUAAAACGGAGGAUCCGAGCGUUAUCCGGAUUGAUUGGGUUUAAAGGGUGCGUAGGCGGCCUUUUAAGUCAGCGGUGAAAGUCUGUGGCUCAACCAUAGAAUUGCCGUUGAAACUGGGAGGCUUGAGUAUGUUUGAGGCAGGCGGAAUGCGUGGUGUAGCGGUGAAAUGCGUAGAUAUCACGCAGAACCCCGAUUGCGAAGGCAGCUUACCAAUCUAUAUCUGACGUUGAGGCACGAAAGCGUGGGGAGCAAACAGGAUUAGAUACCCCAGUAGUC
This 460-nucleotide ribosomal RNA is filed under the name uncultured bacterium. Its description in RNAcentral is "partial 16S ribosomal RNA". It matches the Rfam family "Bacterial small subunit ribosomal RNA", at positions 338 to 795 of the family's 1533-position model. The record is from RNAcentral.